CGAUCUUCUCAUUUUUCCCAAGUACCCAUCUCUGCAUGCCUCCCUCUUCCCCUUUCCAGUUGCCAAAGCAGCUGAGUGGGAAGCAAAUCUGGAGCAGCAGGAACAGGACCAGGGAUCUGUAGAAGAGAUCUUCACAGUUCACUCGAAAAAAAUAGCAGAGGGGAAGAAAAAAGCCCUGAAACCAUUUACAUCAUUUCUGUGAGAUUGCCAACCGCCUCAACGGAGAGGCUUUCUUUUCUAAGAGUUCAUUUUCUUGAAAUACGACAAGGCAGGGGCAAAAUAAAGAGGGCGAUGAAGAUAAUGACAAAGCAUAAACCUUCUUUCCCUUGGAGCGACUUCCGAAUCAGCCGGAAGGACAACUUUUAGAAAGAAACAUCGGAUACAAGGGCCCCGAACACGCAGGCGGAGGAGAAUCCGCGGUGCAGAAAAAGAGGGCCUCGGUGGCCGGGCAGGGAUGAAGCCGGA
This 465-nucleotide long non-coding RNA is filed under the name Homo sapiens (human). RNAcentral describes it as "non-protein coding lnc-SIX1-4:1". The record is from RNAcentral. Lineage: Eukaryota; Metazoa; Chordata; Mammalia; Primates; Hominidae.